Molecule: non-coding RNA, 105 nt
Filed under: uncultured Pyramimonas
Lineage: Eukaryota; Viridiplantae; Chlorophyta; Pyramimonadophyceae; Pyramimonadales
Source: RNAcentral
UGCGAACAGAAAGCAAGAAAUAAGCAAGAAAUAAGCAAGAAAGUGAUUGAAAGUUUCGCUGGCAUCUUGUGUACACACCUUCCUCCUACUUAUCUUUCUUCUUUG